RNAcentral lists this unclassified non-coding RNA (263 nucleotides) under plant metagenome. RNAcentral's name for it is "partial contains small subunit ribosomal RNA, internal transcribed spacer 1, and 5.8S ribosomal RNA". The record is from RNAcentral.
UUUCCGUAGGUGAACCUGCGGAAGGAUCAUUAUUGUAUAACCGAGGUGCGAGGGCUGCCGCUGACCCGAUCGGUCGUGCACGCCCGAGUGCCCUCACACACUUCCCUCUCACCCCUAUGUGCACCACCGCGUGGGUCCCUCUUUGGCUUGUUCGGAGGGGGGCUUACGUUUUCACACAAACUUUGUAUGCAGUGUAGAAUGUAUUUUUUGUUUUUGCGAUCACGCAAUCAAUACAACUUUCAACAACGGAUCUCUUGGCUCUC